RNAcentral lists this ribosomal RNA (497 nucleotides) under uncultured bacterium. RNAcentral describes it as "partial 16S ribosomal RNA". It matches the Rfam family "Bacterial small subunit ribosomal RNA", at positions 28 to 507 of the family's 1533-position model. The record is from RNAcentral.
GAUGAACGCUGGCGGCGUGCCUAAUACAUGCAAGUCGAGCGAACAGACGAGGAGCUUGCUCCUCUGACGUUAGCGGCGGACGGGUGAGUAACACGUGGAUAACCUACCUAUAAGACUGGGAUAACUUCGGGAAACCGGAGCUAAUACCGGAUAAUAUAUUGAACCGCAUGGUUCAAUAGUGAAAGACGGUUUUGCUGUCACUUAUAGAUGGAUCCGCGCCGCAUUAGCUAGUUGGUAAGGUAACGGCUUACCAAGGCAACGAUGCGUAGCCGACCUGAGAGGGUGAUCAGCCACACUGGAACUGAGACACGGUCCAGACUCCUACGGGAGGCAGCAGUAGGGAAUAUUCCGCAAUGGGCGAAAGCCUGACGGAGCCACGCCGCGUGAGUGAUGAAGGUCUUCGGAUCGUAAAACUCUGUUAUUAGGGAAGAAAAACUGUGUAAGUAACUAUGCACGUCUUGACGGUACCUAAUCAGAAAGCCACGGCUAACUACGUG